RNAcentral lists this long non-coding RNA (1930 nucleotides) under Sus scrofa (pig). RNAcentral's name for it is "lncRNA (ENSSSCG00025074232.1)". Lineage: Eukaryota; Metazoa; Chordata; Mammalia; Artiodactyla; Suidae. The record is from RNAcentral.
GCCCUCGGGGCUGCAUGUUGGAGAGUGGCCAACAAGGGUGGAUCCCAUCACAGGGUCUGCCCCAGCUUGUGUGAGUACACAUAUGCACGUCCCCAAAGCUUUCGUGCAUUCCCGUGUGUGCUGGCACUGGACAGGUUCUCGGCUCACAGCACAAGGUUCAACCUUCUUGCACUCCACCCUCAAGCAGCCUAUGUUUCAUCGGGGUAGACCGAUAAUGAACCGUAGGCAAACAGGAAGAGUCUUUGGGAGCGGCACAAGGACAACUCUUAUUUACCUGCAAUAAUGCAUGCCUGUAUCAAUUCUCAGCCCCCACACUGAGCCACCAACCUGAGAGACUUGAAGAGCCACAAAGAGGUCAUGUGAGGAUUUCUUUCGUCACUGCCUCUUCAUCUUCCAGGCUGGUGAGCACGACCUGAACCCCCUGUUCUCAUGAGUUUGUCCUUCCCCCACCCCCGCCCCCGCCACUGCCCACUGUUGCCCUCCGGGUUAAGGUGUGCUGGGCACACACCCAGAGACCUUUGCACUGCAGUUGGGAAAGUUAUUUGUCGAGAAACUUUUUGCAUCUUCCUUUUCUUCUUGCUGCGGGCUUCUGCCUACAUAACUCUGCAAACUGCAAUGCUGGUUUCCUGUAAAAGCCAAGGGCCUGAAAUAAUGGUUCCAGUGAAGAGACUCCUACGUUCUAGAGUGGCUUUCAGACCACCCAGGAGGAACUUGCCAAGGAGCUGGCCCACCACUGCUGACUUCCUGAGCUCUGGAUGCUCCUCCGCCCCCAGAACAUACAGGAACACUCAGGUGGGGAGGAGUUCUCCAGGGAGGUGGUCCCUAGGCACCGAGCCCCCUCCCACCUCCGCACUCCGGCCCCUCCCACCUCCGCACUCCUGGUCCCUCCUCCAAUCAGAGAGGCGUAGGUGGUGCUUUUCUCUCAUCUGACAUCCGUUGGGCGGGGCUUUAAGGAGCGCUCAGAGAGCCGGGCGUGCGUGUUCUAGACACAGAGGUCUGGUGUGUGACUCGCCCUUACAAAAUCUCAAGGGUUUUGAGAGCCGGCUUGAAGUGGCUUUGGCAGCAGAAGAGGGGACAGUAGAACCGCACUUGGGUUGAUUAUGGGACAAAGGAUGCAGAGGUGUUUUCCGGAGACCACAAUGCCCUCAGCCCUCACCAAGGGAGGGAGAGGCUUUAACUUUGAAUACAGUUAAAAGUUUUGGGGUUUUUGUGUGUGUGCCUUUUAGGGCCCCACCCAGGGCAUAUGGAGGUUCCCAGGCUAGGGGUCAAAUCAGAGCUACAGCUGCUGGCCUACACCACAGCCACAGCAAUGCCAGAUCCUUAACCCACUGAGCGAGGCCAGGGAUUGAACCCAUAUCCUCAUGGUUCCUAGUCUGGUUCCCACUGAGCCACGAUGGGAACUCCUUAAUUAAUUUUGAUUAUUAUAUUGAAGGAUCUUGAUAUUUAUCAAAAUAAGACCAGGAGAUCACUGAGAUCACAAGACUGUUAUCCAGGAGUGAGCAGAUAAGCCGAGAGGACUGGCCAAGAUUUCAUCCAGUGGCAGCGACGAGUCCCCCACGAACAGGUUGGAAGGAGGCUGUAGAAGGUGUGAUGGGGUCGCUUAGUCAUUUCACCUACGACCUUGGGACGGCACAGUUACAGGCCUUUCAUGUCCAAAGAGGCAGGACCUACUGUUAUUUUACAGAUGAGGAAGCCGAGGUGCCAGGAUCUUGAGAGGAUAGAUUGGAGGUUUGGGGGUGGGUGGGGCUUGUGGCAGCUCCAGGAUUUCAAUAUAAGACAGACAGCCGGGUCUCUAGGCAACGGGAAGAGAUGAGACACUUGUACUGGAGCUGCUCCCAUGAUAAGCAGGCCGUUUUCCUCCUGGAUUGAUGUCUAUGCAGAGUGGCUUGGGAGGGAGGGGGCCUGUAGCCACUGGGGGUAGAGAUAAUGA